This 336-nucleotide unclassified non-coding RNA is filed under the name uncultured Entrophosporaceae. Its description in RNAcentral is "uncultured Claroideoglomeraceae sequence contains 18S rRNA gene". Lineage: Eukaryota; Fungi; Glomeromycota; Glomeromycetes; Entrophosporales; Entrophosporaceae. The record is from RNAcentral.
CCCAACUAUCCCUAUUAAUCAUUACGUGGUCCUAAAACCAACAAAAUAGAACCAUCGUCCUAUUUUAUUAUUCCAUGCUAAUGUAUUCAAGCAAAAAUGCCCGCUUUAAACACUCUAAUUUUUUCAAAGUAAAUGUCCUAGUUCAUCAAAACACCCGAAAGCAUUCCAAUUCACCAGAAGGUAAGAAUUGACCAUACACCAAUUCAUGCCCCUGAAGGCACGACCGAUAUAUCCCAAUCCCGAAAUUCAACUACGAGCUUUUUAACCGCAACAACACUAAUAUACGCUAUUGGAGCUGGAAUUACCGCGGCCGCUAAUACCAGACUUGCCCUCCAA